This is a long non-coding RNA of Micropterus dolomieu (smallmouth bass), 594 nucleotides long. RefSeq lists it as uncharacterized. The transcript has 3 exons. The record is from RefSeq and is a predicted model, not a curated record. Lineage: Eukaryota; Metazoa; Chordata; Actinopteri; Centrarchiformes; Centrarchidae.
CAGUCCAGGGUGAGGAGCAGAACCAGAGCGAUCCAGAUCAGCCACACUGAAACCUUCGCCCCUUCCCUCAUCAUAUGGGUGUGACUGGGAGCUUUUCUGGUAAUGCCCUGUCUCAGAGAAAAAAAGGAGUGUGCGUUCUCACACUACAGAAUGAAUUCUUCCAGAGAUAUCAACUGAGUAAUGAGUAAAAAAAUGUGUGUCAAAAAAACAGUAGAAACAUGUAAGAAUGCAGCUCCAAUCUAACCCUAACCCUGCAGUGGACUCCCUGGAGUUUGGAGAACUGAAUCAUAAGCAGAGCAUAAUCACAUUAGCAAAGCUCUUCAUCCUCUGUGGCUGUGAGUGUGCUGCUCGGCUCCUUUCAUGGGAAUCUGUCACCGUGGAGAUAUGAAGGUGCUCCCUCUCUGCCAAAGCCAGGAGAGACAGCAGCACAUCCCACUGGACCAAAUCUAUCCUCAGAAUUACACCAGUAGCCUCUUCAUGAUGAGAUAAUCAGAGACAUAGAGCUUGAUGUGACACUGUUACAUGUCAAAUGUUUUGUACCUGAAAUAAAAUAAAAACUGAAAUAUUUUGAACUGAAAUAAAAACAGUAAAACA